Molecule: transfer RNA, 71 nt
Filed under: Philonthus decorus
Lineage: Eukaryota; Metazoa; Arthropoda; Insecta; Coleoptera; Staphylinidae
Description: tRNA-Lys
Source: RNAcentral
CAUUAGAUGACUGAAAGUAAGUACUGGUCUCUUAAACCACACAAUAAUAGGCUAACAACUAUUUCUAAUGA